AACGAACGCUGGCGGCGCGCCUAAUACAUGCAAGUCGAGCGAGAAGACGUAGCAAUACGUUUGUAAAGCGGCGAACGGGUGAGGAAUACAUGGGUAACCUACCCUCGAGUGGAGAAUAACUAGCCGAAAGGUUAGCUAAUACCGCGUACGCUCCUUGGACUUCGGUUCAGGGAGGAAAGCGAUACCGUGGGGUAUCGCGCUCUUGGAUGGGCUCAUGUCCUAUCAGCUUGUUGGGAGGGUAACGGCUCACCAAGGCUUCGACGGGUAGCUGGUCUGAGAGGACAAUCAGCCACACUGGCACUGCGACACGGGCCAGACUCCUACGGGAGGCAGC
This 334-nucleotide ribosomal RNA is filed under the name uncultured bacterium. Its description in RNAcentral is "bacterial SSU rRNA". It matches the Rfam family "Bacterial small subunit ribosomal RNA", at positions 29 to 352 of the family's 1533-position model. The record is from RNAcentral.